ACUGCUCAGUAACACGUGGAUAACCUGCCCUUGGGUCCGGCAUAACCCCGGGAAACUGGGGAUAAUUCCGGAUAACGCACAUAUGCUGGAAUGCUUUAUGCGUAAAAUGGAUUCGUCUGCCCAAGGAUGGGUCUGCGGCCUAUCAGGUAGUAGUGGGUGUAAUGUACCUACUAGCCAACAACGGGUACGGGUUGUGAGAGCAAGAGCCCGGAGAUGGAUUCUGAGACAUGAAUCCAGGCCCUACGGGGCGCAGCAGGCGCGAAAACUUUACAAUGCGGGAAACCGUGAUAAGGGGACACCGAGUGCCAGCAUCAUAUGCUGGCUGUCCGGGUGUGUAAAAUACACCUGUUAGCAAGGGCCGGGCAAGACCGGUGCCAGCCGCCGCGGUAACACCGGCGGCCCGAGUGGUGAUCGUGAUUAUUGGGUCUAAAGGGUCCGUAGCCGGUUUGGUCAGUCCUCCGGGAAAUCUGACGGCCCAGCCGUUAGGCUUUCGGGGGAUACUGCCAGGCUUGGAACCGGGAGAGGUAAGAGGUACUACAGGGGUAGGAGUGAAAUCUUGUAAUCCCUGUGGGACCACCUGUGGCGAAGGCGUCUUACCAGAACGGGUUCGACGGUGAGGGACGAAAGCUGGGGGCACGAACCGGAUUAGAUACCCGGGUAGUCCCAGCCGUAAACGAUGCUCGCUAGGUGUCAGGCAUGGCGCGACCGUGUCUGGUGCCGCAGGGAAGCCGUGAAGCGAGCCACCUGGGAAGUACGGCCGCAAGGCUGAAACUUAAAGGAAUUGGCGGGGGAGCAC
RNAcentral lists this ribosomal RNA (796 nucleotides) under uncultured Methanosarcinaceae archaeon. Its description in RNAcentral is "bacterial SSU rRNA". It matches the Rfam family "Archaeal small subunit ribosomal RNA", at positions 85 to 879 of the family's 1478-position model. The record is from RNAcentral. Lineage: Archaea; Methanobacteriati; Methanobacteriota; Methanomicrobia; Methanosarcinales; Methanosarcinaceae.